UAGCUGAUUCCUGGUUAUCAAUGUUGAUGU
Molecule: non-coding RNA, 30 nt
Filed under: Mus musculus (house mouse)
Lineage: Eukaryota; Metazoa; Chordata; Mammalia; Rodentia; Muridae
Also listed under: 1 other name
Source: RNAcentral